Molecule: ribosomal RNA, 386 nt
Filed under: uncultured bacterium
Lineage: Bacteria
Description: bacterial SSU rRNA
Rfam family: Bacterial small subunit ribosomal RNA
Source: RNAcentral
GACGAACGCUGGCGGCGUGCCUAACACAUGCAAGUUGAGCGACGAACCAGGGCUUGCCCUGGGGCAAAGCAGCGAACGGGUGAGUAACACGUGGGUAACGUGCCCCGAUAACCGGGACAACCCGAGGAAACUCGGGCUAAUACCGGAUGUGCCCACCAGACAUCAGUCUGGUGUAGUAAAGGAAGCUUCGGCCUCCGUAUCGGGAGCGGCCCGCGGCCCAUUAGCUUGUUGGUGAGGUAACGGCNCACCAAGGCAACGAUGGGUAGCUGGUCUGAGAGGACGAUCAGCCACACUGGGACUGAGACACGGCCCAGACUCCUACGGGAGGCAGCAGUGGGGAAUCUUGCGCAAUGCGCGAAAGCGUGACGCAGCAACGCCGCGUGGGG